RNAcentral lists this ribosomal RNA (599 nucleotides) under Phanerochaete sp. 1 KUC20121102-19. Its description in RNAcentral is "eukaryotic LSU rRNA". It matches the Rfam family "Eukaryotic large subunit ribosomal RNA", at positions 66 to 648 of the family's 3401-position model. Lineage: Eukaryota; Fungi; Basidiomycota; Agaricomycetes; Polyporales; Phanerochaetaceae. The record is from RNAcentral.
UAACAAGGAUUCCCCUAGUAACUGCGAGUGAAGCGGGAAAAGCUCAAAUUUAAAAUCUGGCAGUCUUUGGCUGUCCGAGUUGUAGUCUGGAGAAGCGUUUUCCGCGUUGGACCGUGUACAAGUCUCCUGGAACGGAGCGUCAUAGAGGGUGAGAAUCCCGUCUUUGACACGGACUACCAGUGCUUUGUGAUGCGCUCUCAAAGAGUCGAGUUGUUUGGGAAUGCAGCUCAAAAUGGGUGGUAAACUCCAUCUAAAGCUAAAUAUUGGCGAGAGACCGAUAGCGAACAAGUACCGUGAGGGAAAGAUGAAAAGCACUUUGGAAAGAGAGUUAAACAGUACGUGAAAUUGCUGAAAGGGAAACGCUUGAAGUCAGUCGCGUUUGCUAGGACUCAGCCUUGCCUCGGCUUGGUGCAUUUCCUAGUAGACGGGCCAGCAUCACUUUUGGCUGCGGGAAAAAGGUCAGAGGAAUGUGGCACCUUCGGGUGUGUUAUAGCCUCUGGCUGUAUACCGUGGCUGGGAGUGAGGAUCUCAGCACGCCUUCAUGGCGGGGCUUCGGCCACCUUCGUGCUUCGGAUGCUGGCGUAAUGGCUUUAAACGAC